RNAcentral lists this ribosomal RNA (301 nucleotides) under uncultured bacterium. RNAcentral's name for it is "partial 16S ribosomal RNA". It matches the Rfam family "Bacterial small subunit ribosomal RNA", at positions 509 to 809 of the family's 1533-position model. The record is from RNAcentral.
CAGUCGCCACGGUAAUACGUAGGUGGCAAGCAUUGUCCGGAAUUAUUGGGCGUAAAGGGCUCGCAGGCGGUUUCUUAAGUUUGAUGUGAAAGCCCCCGGCUCAACCGGGGAGGGUCAUUGGAAACUGGGAAACUUGAGUGCAGAAGAGGAGAGUGGAAUUCCACGUGUAGCGGUGAAAUGCGUAGAGAUGUGGAGGAACACCAGUGGCGAAGGCGACUCUCUGGUCUGUAACUAACGCUGAGGAGCGAAAGCGUGGGGAGCGAGCAGGAUUAGAUACCCGUGUAGUCCCUGUCUCUUACAC